This 227-nucleotide long non-coding RNA is filed under the name Bos taurus (domestic cattle). RNAcentral describes it as "long non-coding RNA NONBTAT019622". The record is from RNAcentral. Lineage: Eukaryota; Metazoa; Chordata; Mammalia; Artiodactyla; Bovidae.
ACUGGGCAGACAGUUUUCCUCUCUAACAAGAAUUCUGCCAUUACUCAAAGGCACGGCCCAGGGCUAGUCCAGGGGAGCCUCUCCCACCACUGUCCCCACAACCUCAUCAGCUCCUCCCCACCCCUAAGUCCUCAUAACCCCUGGAGCACACACAGUGGGCAUUUCCCUGUUUCCUCCUUGAGCGUCUCCACCGAGACCACGGCCCUGAUCUUCCGUCACACACCCUG